GAACGCUGCAAAGCUGCAGAAUUGAGAUUUGUGUAUGCUGGACUGAGAUUGUGAUCAACUUUACCUAAUUUCCUAUGUUAAUUGAAAUUGAGCUGUUAUUGAACUAUGUAGUCUUUUCACCUAGGCCGUUGAACUCCAUUGAAACCAACUCCACUUUUGCAUGUUGACAAGGUACAUUUGCUGAAAUUGUGGUGAUCGUUAAUGGAGAUGUAUAUUAUCUAAAAGAUGUGCUAGACUAAGAUAUGAUUGGCUGAACAAGCAUAAUUUAUGAGAGUGAAA
Molecule: long non-coding RNA, 279 nt
Organism: Juglans microcarpa x Juglans regia
Lineage: Eukaryota; Viridiplantae; Streptophyta; Magnoliopsida; Fagales; Juglandaceae
Exons: 3
Source: RefSeq, a predicted model, not a curated record